This 420-nucleotide ribosomal RNA is filed under the name bacterium. RNAcentral's name for it is "partial 16S ribosomal RNA". It matches the Rfam family "Bacterial small subunit ribosomal RNA", at positions 355 to 776 of the family's 1533-position model. The record is from RNAcentral.
UGGGGGAUAUUGCACAAUGGGCGAAAGCCUGAUGCAGCGACGCCGCGUGGGGGAUGAAGGCUUUCGGGUUGUAAACCUCUUUCGCUAUCGAACAAGGCCCGCUUAGGGUGGGUUGAGGGUAGGUGGAGAAGAAGCGCCGGCUAACUACGUGCCAGCAGCCGCGGUAAUACGUAGGGCGCGAGCGUUGUCCGGAAUUAUUGGGCGUAAAGGGCUUGUAGGCGGCUUGUUGCGCCUGCUGUGAAAACGCGGGGCUUAACUUCGCGCGUGCAGUGGGUACGGGCAGGCUUGAGUGUGGUAGGGGUGACUGGAAUUCCAGGUGUAGCGGUGGAAUGCGCAGAUAUCUGGAGGAACACCGAUGGCGAAGGCAGGUCACUGGGCCAUUACUGACGCUGAGGAGCGAAAGCAUGGGUAGCGAAGAGG